RNAcentral lists this small RNA (292 nucleotides) under Chlorocebus sabaeus (green monkey). RNAcentral's name for it is "Metazoan signal recognition particle RNA (ENSCSAG00000024170.1)". Lineage: Eukaryota; Metazoa; Chordata; Mammalia; Primates; Cercopithecidae. The record is from RNAcentral.
UGAGGUGGGCGGAUCACCUGAGGUCAGGAGUUCAAGACCAGCCUGGCCAACAUGGUGAAACUCCAUCUCCACUAAAAAUACAAAAAAAUUAGGCCGGAAGCAGUGGCUCACGCCUGUAAUCCCAACAUUUUGGGAGGCCGAGGCCACCACGACCAGCUAAUUUUUGCAUUUUCAGCAGAGACAGGGUUUCACCAUGUUGGUCAGGCUGGUCUCAAACUCCUGACCCCAGGUGAUCCACCUGCCCCGACCUCCCAAAGUGCUGCGAUUACAAGCAUGAGCCACCGCACUCGGC